This 230-nucleotide ribosomal RNA is filed under the name uncultured bacterium. RNAcentral's name for it is "partial 16S ribosomal RNA". It matches the Rfam family "Bacterial small subunit ribosomal RNA", at positions 118 to 346 of the family's 1533-position model. The record is from RNAcentral.
UGAGCAAUCUGCCCUUCUCAUCGGAAUAAGCGUUGGAAACGACGUCUAAUGCCGAAUACGACCUCCUUUCGCAUGAUCGGAGGUGGAAAGCUCCGGCGGAGAAGGAUGAGCUCGCGGCCUAUCAGCUAGUUGGUGUGGGUAAUGGCUCACCAAGGCGUCGACGGGUAGCUGGUCUGAGAGGACGACCAGCCACACUGGAACUGAGAUACGGUCCAGAUCCCGUAACGGGG